Molecule: long non-coding RNA, 212 nt
Filed under: Cavia porcellus (domestic guinea pig)
Lineage: Eukaryota; Metazoa; Chordata; Mammalia; Rodentia; Caviidae
Description: lncRNA (ENSCPOG00000036351.1)
Source: RNAcentral
CAAGCAAGCAAAUCUUUAGGAUGGUGGUGCAAACGGAGCCCAGCUGGGAAACCAGAAAUGACCCAAAGUCCAGCAAAUUGGAUAGGAAGGUGGAGGAAUUUUUCAAAUACGACCAACACUUAGAAGCCUUGUGGGUACACCGACGGCCCACCGUUGGCUCACCUUAGGAGAAUGGCACACCGGAGCCUCUGCAUCGGGUAUGACGCACGCCU